UAGUGGUUCAUAGAUGGGACCUGUGGUCUGCAAAAUGGAUCUGCGGUUUGCAAAGUAGACCGCAGACUAUCCCCUCAAGUUUGAAAUUUCUGGAAGGAUUUACCGGAUACAUUUCCUGGUUCGUAGAAUUGUUCUGCAAUAUGUAGAAAUGCUCACAGGAUGCUCUCUUAGGCCAACAUCUAUCAACUUUUUGCCCACCUGGAUUCAAUUUUUGUGUCUCACAAAACCAUUCUACAGUCUGUAGAAUGGGACACAGAUCAUGCUAUCUAUAGAUAGGAAAUUCUGAGGAGAGAGAAAAUAAAUUUCAUAUUUUGGCUCGGGAAUUCAAUUUUAGGGAGAAGGAAAAGCUAUUCCCACUAACCAACACCAAAUGUAAGUCUCUUAGUGGGUUUUCAAUUUUUCCAUACCAAUACCCUUAGAUUCUAAUACUUUAACGAAUUCAAAUUGUAGGAACUCAUCUAAAAGUUCAAAAAAUUGCUAUCACUCAACCUAGGGCUUCAAACGCAAAAGGUUGGUCUUCUCAGUCAAAGUAAAGACAUCAAGUACCAGUCGGCCUUAUUAAGGAUUUGGGGCGUGAUAAAAUGCUAUAAUAAGCUAUGAAAGAUGUUGUUCUACUCCAGUAAACGAGACUGCAAUAUACCCUCAUCUUUGGAAAAGCUGCACAACAGAUUUGGAUGCCUUUUGGAAGACCACUUGGUAUCACUCAAUAUCAAGGCACAAUCAGGUACUUAAUCAAUUUAUGGUGGACUCAGAGUUACCACUAAUGCAGUUCAUAAAAAGGUGUCACAAAUUGUUCCCUUAUUCAUAUGCUGGGAGAUUUGGAAGCAAUAUUGUGAGUGAAAAUAUGGAGAGAAAAGGAAAUUCAGAGUUUUCAUUAUGAUUCAACAAGCUGCAAGGAGUAUUCUAAGAGCAAUCUCACAGGCUUUUACUACAGCUUGACAUUACCCUGAAUCUAUUGUUGUGAUACUCUUACAAGGUUGAAACCACGUCCCAAGAAAACCAUUGUGUGCUGGAAUUUGUCUAGUGUGAGUUGUUUGAAGCUGAACACAGAUGGGAGCUUUAUCUAUGCAAGUGUAAAAGCUGAAAUAUGAUGGGUAUUGAGAGAUGAUAAGGGUGAACAUUUUAUUGCCUUCUCAUUGCUUGUGCAGUGUGGCAACAACUUGAAGGCAGAAACUAUGACUGCAAGAUAUGGUUUGCACAUGUGUAUAUCUUUGAACUACAUAAACUUCACCCUUAAGGUAGAGUCCCUAUCUAUUUUUUCAGAUGAUCAAUGACAAAAAAUGCGAUAGCUACAAGCUAAACUGGACCAUUGAGGAGAUACAACAGCUAAAGAAACUUGGUAAUGUCACAACAGAACACUGUUAUAGAGAGGUCAAUAAGGUUGCAGACUAUCUUGUCAAAUUAGCCUCGACCAGAAUGAAUCCCUUUAUGACUCCUAUAAGCAUCUUCCUGUGGGGGCUAAAUGUCCACUCCAACUGGAAAAGAGCCAGAUGCCUUCUAUGAGGCUCAAAUAUGACAAAGCUAAUUUUGUUUGUUAGUUAGUUGUAUAGGUAGUUCUUCUUUUUGAGGGUCAAGAUGUUUUUAUUAGCUUCCCCUUCCCUGUUCUUGUGAAGGAUACAAGUUUUUAUCCUUUGUUGUGUUCAGAGGUAAGACCAAGUCCAAAGCCUUUCUGACUCGGCCUGGCCCGGUCGGUAAUUUCCUUCUGAUAAAUAACCCCUUGACAUGAAAAAACUUUAUAAAAAAUGUUGCAUAUAUAUCACAUGUUGAUUUUUUAAAGUCUUGUAGCGUUCUAUGUAUGAAGGAAUCUACAAUGCAUAUUGACUGAAA
Molecule: RNA transcript, 1827 nt
Organism: Solanum dulcamara
Lineage: Eukaryota; Viridiplantae; Streptophyta; Magnoliopsida; Solanales; Solanaceae
Exons: 3
Source: RefSeq, a predicted model, not a curated record